This 3779-nucleotide long non-coding RNA is filed under the name Homo sapiens (human). RNAcentral describes it as "non-protein coding MIR9-3HG:24". The record is from RNAcentral. Lineage: Eukaryota; Metazoa; Chordata; Mammalia; Primates; Hominidae.
GUGUCGUGGCUGCUGGGGAGAAAGAGGCUUCCGGACAUGCUCUGGAGUCAGAAGACAGCGAAAAGAGAAGCAGAAGCCCCGGUGGCAAGAGUCUGAAGCAGGAAGGAUGACUGUAGCCUGUGGAUUGUACUGCAGUAGGAAACUGUCCUAGCAAGGCUCCACUUUGCCCCAGCUUCAAGCUGGAAAGGAGGAGAACAUGAAACAUUGCUUGAAGACAAUGGCCGAGACAGCAGGUCCCACCCUGCACAGCCACCAGCAUCUCUCCCCUCAGCCCUGUCUCCUCUUCUGCAGUUGGGAUCUGCACAUUUAAGCCUGAAAUUGUCCUGUGAAGUGAAGUAUGAUCGGACAGCCUCUUUUCAGCUUUUAUGACAAUGGAGACAGAGGAAUUGUGGCUCUUGCCAAGGUCACAGGAUUGGAAUACAGAGCCAAGCCACCCCAGGACAUGCAAGAGCCUCAGAAGGGAAAAAAGCCCAGCAGGAAGGGAGAACAAGUAGCCUCUGUCCUGAAGUUGUAACAGCCAGGGGCCAGGAUGGAGGAGGAGGACCCCAUAAUCUGCCCAUCUGGGACUUGGCAGGGGACCUGGGAAAAUGUACCCCAACCCAUCCCUUAAGGGCCUUUGUCUUUGGCCCAUUGGCCUAGCAUCUACUUCUUCACCGUGUCUGUUCUUGUCACACCUAGUCAGGUCUGUUUGGGUCUGAGGUGCAUGGAACAUUCUGGGUAGGCCUCCAGCAAACGGAAGCUCUUCACCGUGUUUCCAGCCUGGGACCAAGGGCAGCAUACUGGCAAAGUUGCCAAAGCAAGGGACUCCAGCCUCUUAGGAGUUAAUGACUCCCUCUCCCCAGCUGUCCUCCCCUUGGUGCUCCUCUUCCUCCCUCCUCCUGCUCACAGCAGGCAGGGCCUAGACCCGGGAGCCAUGCUGCUGUGCUGUUGCCAGGGGAGCACGGAGGCAGAUCUGAGCUAUGCAGGGAAAAGGCCCAGCCUGUCAAAGUGUCUGAGAUGAACCGCCGCCGUCCCUGUGCAGCUGGGCUCAGACGUGUCUCAGCUCUUGUUCUGUGCCUGAGAAUGGCGAAACCCAGUGAGGUUCAAGGGCAAACUCGCUAUUCAUUAGUCAGGGGUUCUUGACGUCCCGUCUCUCCCAGGGAUGAGUUCCCCCCUCCUCUUUCUCCCCCUCCUAUGACACAUUCCUGGGUGCCUUUGGUGAGGACUGCACACCCUCCUCCUGCCUAGCCCCCUCUCCAAAGGCCCCUGAAUAAACUCCCCCCAAGGAGACCAGGCAGGGCAGAGACAAUGGCUGCAGGAAAUCAUUCAGGCGGGACAUGCUGGCCUGCCCUCCACCCAGUCCCCCUGUGGGCCCCACUCCCUUCUGAUUCAGGGCACCCUUGGGCCCCCAGCCUAUACAGGCCUGGACAGGAAGAAACCACUGGGAACCACCCUAAGGACAACAUGCUAGUCCAGUGCCAUUCUUCGCUGGCUCUGUGGGUGCCUUUGUGGCCUGUACCGACUGGCUGGCUAAUUUUGUGGUUUCUGUACCAUCACAUGCCUAUUUUAAGACACUCUCCAGCACUGUCGGUUAGGGAGUGUAAAUUUUGCAAUAUUUUCUGAAAUGUGGCAAUAUCAAAAUGUAAAAGGCACACAUACUUGGUCACAAACAAAUGGCACUAUUUACUCUGUGGGCAUAUUUGUAAAAGUUGCCAAAGAAUUAUAUACAAGGAUGUUCAUCAGAGCAUUUCUUUUGAAGAGUAAAGAAAUGGACAUGAACCUGUGGUCCGUUCAUACGGUGGAAUACCUAUGCAGCUGUAAAAAUCAGUGUGGUAGAUCUCCGUAUAUGAGUUGAUGUGGAAGGUUGGCCAGUUCACAUGAUAAGGUGAAUAGAAUAAGUUACAGAACAGGCUGUAGAGUAUGAUCUUAUUUGUAGAUGUUUAAAACUGAGUCAUAAGUAUGCUUAUAUACAGAUCGUUUCUGGAAGUAUGUACUGGAAGUCUACCUCUGGGGAGUGGGGAUGGGGGAGUGCACUCUUCUAUACUGUUAUAUUUUCUUUUCAUGCUCCUAAGGUACUUUUAUUGGAAGAUGUAAAGCGGUUCAAUGUAAUAGGCUUAACUUCUGUCAACUAAGUUGGCGUGGGUGCUUUAAGAGGGUGGUAGUGAUGUUGCUGGAGAAAGUAUCCCACAGUCACUGGUGGCUUCAGCCACGGGCCAUUUUGGGGCCUAAUAAUCACAUAUCAUCAUGGUUGCUAGUGUUAAUCGAAAACCUACUAAGUGCCAGGCUUACUGUCUCUGGGUCUUGCUUACGUGGAUGUCAUUUUUCCAGUUGCACCAAAUCGAAAGAGGUUAAUUGGUUUGUUGGAGUUCCUUUGUAGGUGAAGGGCAGAGCCAGGAGCUUGGCUAGGGACAGGGGAGGUGAGUGGGGGAUGGUGGAUAGGUCUUGGCUCCCAGUUUCCUUCUGGGCAGACAUUGCCCCUCUGCCCUGAGGACCUGCUUGUUUGGGGGAAGAGGCCUUUAGAGGCACCAGGGUCAUGCCAGGUGUUGGACAUGGUGAACUGGGAAGUGCUCCCAUCUGGCCACAGCGCAGAAGUAUCACCGUGCUGGGGGAUGGGGAACAGGGCUGUGAAUGGGCCUAUUUGCAUAAGCAGCAUGUGUCUGGAGAGAAAGACAUCACAGAGCAGAAGAGUGCGGGUGCCCAGGAGUGCACUUGCCACCCCUACUUCAUCCCUGAAAGAGUAAAUGGCCUGGAAGGUGUCUCUGAGAGGUAAUGCCGCACACCACCCUCCCUGGGGGCAGGGUCAGGCUACACCUGCCUUAGGUCGGGGGCUGCAGCAGCCUGAGAGCUCUCAGUAGGGCCUCAGUAGCCUGGGAGGGAGCAGGGGCAGGGGGCAGGGAAAGAGGCGUAAUGGGGCUGUCCAGAGGGGCCUGGGAAACCUGGUCCCUGAGGCCUGGGCACAGCUACAAUCACUUCAAAUUGGCUGUGGGGCCAGUGGACUGGGAAGGAAAAAAGCAAUAAGAGUGACCAAGUGCAGAAGGCUGUCAGGUCCCAGGUCACAUGCCUUAGUGCAGUGACUCCUCAUCAUUUUAUGGGGUGUGGGUGUCGUUGGUACACCCAUUUUACAGAUGAGGACACCGAGGCCCAGAAAAGUUAAGUUACAUGUCCUAAGUCACACAGCUUGUAAGUGCCAGAACUGAGAUCAAAACCAAGUCUCUUUGACUUUAAAGUCUGUACUCUGACCCCAAAGAGAUCCUGUUUGGCCACUUAUAGGAGGUCCCUAAAGCUGCAGACUCCCCUUGCCGGCACCCACAUAUAGAGACAUUAACCCUUCCCCUGCAGGGUCACCUCAAAUAGUCUUUUAGCUGGGCUUCUCCUGCAAUUCCACCUAAUGCCAUCCCCUGGGUUUUGCCCAAACCUGAACUGGGCAGUGGGGUGAGAGGAGGGGUUUACAGGGUUACAGAGCCUCAUACAGAUAGGAGCCCAUGGCUGCUGGUCAUCUGCAUUCCUGCAGGAUUGGCUGUUCCUUGGGGUCCUUGGCAGGAAAAUGAGGAUUGCUCCGAGGCCUGCUCCAGUACUUCCCAGAGGCUGGCCUGGUGUGGGGCUCUGGGAAGGCUGAGGCUGGAGAAGCGUAAGUAGGAGGGCAGAGAUGGCACUCAGGUAGCUUGAAUCACCAGGACCCUUCCAAGCCCCACAGGUUCUGAGGGAGUACUAGGGCCAGCUCUGGGAGAGGUCUCUUCCUAUGCUGUGAACCCCCUGCCUUUCUUGCAGCCUACAACGAAUAAAUUUUCUUUGCAAAGGCU